GACGAACGCUGGCGGCGUGCCUAAUACAUGCAAGUUGAGCGCUGAAGGUUGGUACUUGUACCAACUGGAUGAGCAGCGAACGGGUGAGUAACGCGUGGGGAAUCUGCCUUUGAGCGGGGGACAACAUUUGGAAACGAAUGCUAAUACCGCAUAAAAACUUUAAACACAAGUUUUAAGUUUGAAAGAUGCAAUUGCAUCACUCAAAGAUGAUCCCGCGUUGUAUUAGCUAGUUGGUGAGGUAAAGGCUCACCAAGGCGAUGAUACAUAGCCGACCUGAGAGGGUGAUCGGCCACAUUGGGACUGAGACACGGCCCAAACUCCUACGGGAGGCAGCAGUAGGGAAUCUUCGGCAAUGGACGAAAGUCUGACCGAGCAACGCCGCGGGAGUGAAGAAGGUUUUCGGAUCGUAAAACUCUGUUGGUAGAGAAGAACGUUGGUGAGAGUGGAAAGCUCAUUAAGUGACGGUAACUACCCAGAAAGGGACGGCUAACUACGUG
RNAcentral lists this ribosomal RNA (497 nucleotides) under uncultured bacterium. Its description in RNAcentral is "partial 16S ribosomal RNA". It matches the Rfam family "Bacterial small subunit ribosomal RNA", at positions 28 to 507 of the family's 1533-position model. The record is from RNAcentral.